RNAcentral lists this ribosomal RNA (433 nucleotides) under uncultured bacterium. RNAcentral's name for it is "partial 16S ribosomal RNA". It matches the Rfam family "Bacterial small subunit ribosomal RNA", at positions 29 to 507 of the family's 1533-position model. The record is from RNAcentral.
AACGAACGCUGGCGGCAGGCCUAACACAUGCAAGUCGAGCGAGGACUUCGGUUCUAGCGGCGGACGGGUGAGUAACGCGUGGGAAUGUGCCCUUCUCUACGGAAUAGCUCUGGGAAACUGGGAGUAAUACCGUAUACGCCCUAUUGGGGAAAGAUUUAUCGGAGAAGGAUCAGCCCGCGUUGGAUUAGGUAGUUGGUGGGGUAAUGGCCUACCAAGCCGUCGAUUCAUAGCUGGUUAGAGAGGAUGGUCAGCAACACUGAGAGGGAGACGCGGCCCGGACUCCUACGGGAGGCAGGAGUGGGGGAUCUUAGAAAAUGGGGGCAACCAUGAUGGAGCCAUGCCGCGUGAGUGAUGAAAGCCUUAGGGUAGUAAAGCUCUUUCAGCUGGGAAGAUAAUGACGGUACCAGCAGAAGAAGCCCCGGCUAACUCCGUG